RNAcentral lists this small nucleolar RNA (277 nucleotides) under Seriola lalandi dorsalis. The record is from RNAcentral. Lineage: Eukaryota; Metazoa; Chordata; Actinopteri; Carangiformes; Carangidae.
UCUUUGCGGCCUUGUGACGUCGCCCCUCGCAGGGACUGUUGCCUGUGGGUACAACAAGGUUGCAGAAAUCAACUCAAAGAAUGAAAAGGCGUGACUUCUGGAGGCUCAGGAGCUUCACGUGCGAUCUUCCUUGGACAGACCCCUGCUUUCCACGGUGGUGAUGGUCUUGCUCUGUAGCCAUCACCUUUCUUGAAGCAGGUAGAGUAAAACCUGGCAGCCAGAUAUUGUUUGAAGCAGGGGAAGCUCUUCCUGUCAGACACUUUCAGCUGUCACAGUC